RNAcentral lists this long non-coding RNA (4785 nucleotides) under Manihot esculenta (cassava). RNAcentral's name for it is "long non-coding RNA (MESC_LNC012248)". Lineage: Eukaryota; Viridiplantae; Streptophyta; Magnoliopsida; Malpighiales; Euphorbiaceae. The record is from RNAcentral.
AUUAUUCAAACUAACAAAUAAUUAUUUUGCAAUUAAAAAUCAACGUAGAUCUCAAUAACAAAAUAAUAUAAAAAUUAAGUAUGAAAUUGCAUGAAUAUUAAACUCCCAAAAAUUAAAUAAUAUUUGAUCAAGUCUCACAACCUAUUAAACAACCAAAACUUCAACCAAUAUUCAACUAGAUGAAAGAAAUUCAGCCACUCGUUGGCUGAAUUAAAAACAGAAAAAAAUAAAAAUAAAAAGGGAAAGGAAGGAAAGAACCGAAGAACUUCUGCCUUGUGCCGGACUGCGGAAUUGCUGAAUUAGAAUUGGAAUUGUCUGUCCACUGAAGAGCUCUUUUUAUAAGUGCAGAGGUGCGUCCUAUUUUGGAAUUUCUGGCCACGUGCAGUGAGUCUGCGCGAGAGUGGGCUGCGUCCGUGAGUUUGGAGUGCUGGCCACAUGUGAGGUGCUUGGUCAUGGGCUGUCCAUGUGUGUGGCGGAAUGGAAACGCCUUGGUGGGCCAUGUGCAAGUGAAGGUGCAGGUGUGGGCUGUGGUGUGCGUGAGUGGUGUGGGCCAUGUUGCAAGUGGUUGGUGCAGCCUUGAUCCGCGUGAAGGGAGUGGUGAAGCGCGGGCCAUGGUGGAAGAAUGUUGAAGCGGGCCCAUGGUCCAUGUGAAGUGAAUGGUGAAGGCCAUGAGUGCAAGGUGGAGGCGGGCCAUGUGCGUGAAUAUGAUGAUGCGCUUGGCGGGGCUUGGUCCACUUGGUCCACUGGAGGGAAUGGCGUUGAAGCAGGAGCGUGAGUGGCGGGCGUGAGUGUACUUGGCCCAUUUGAAGUGGGCUGUCCAAGUGCUUGAAUGGCUUUGGCCCAAGCGUGUUGGCGGAAUGGGCUGUCCGUGGCCUUUUUUGCGUGAGUUUGGACUGUCCAAGUGCGUGAAUAUUUAAGCUUCAAAAUAUUUUCCUCUCAUUUAGCUUGACUUGAAUCCAACUUGGCAGGCUUACUCUCUUUUGCUCCAAAUAAGGCAGUUUUAGGGGGGAUUUUCUCCAAAUUGUCCUUUUAUACCAUUUUCUGCAAAAUAAUAUUAAAAGCAAUAAAUUAAGCAGAAAUCGUGUAAAUAUUCAUCAAUAAUAUUAAUAUAAAAUGGACUAAAUUAUGCUCUAUCAAAUACCCCCACACCUUGCCUUUUGCUUGUCCUCAAGCAAAUAAACAUAGUUAAACAAGCUUUCUUACUCUAGAUCCUUAUUUCCACUUAAACUCUUACUCUAGACUCCUAUUUUGAAUCAUUGCAGUGAAGAAUAUAUGCAUGAAGAUUACUCACCUUCUUUCCUUAUUUCCCUUUGCUUACCAUGGCUAGGAUUUCUUUUACUCAAGAGAGAUCAUACAUGCACAUAUUAUUUGUUCAGAUAAGACUUUUUCUAGCUUUCAGAGUGACUUGCCCUUACCUUGAAGUACUUUAUUCAGCUUUUUGCACUUUUAAUUUUGCUUGAACAAGUCACCAACCUUUUGACGUGAAGGUACAUAUUUGUGAUACCCACCCCCAGUUACUCAGUUGGUCACCUGUCCAAGUGGCUACUAGCUCUGUUCAUAGUCUUUUGACCAUUGGAACAGUUUUCAAUUUGUGCUUUUGAAGUCUAAGCCUUUGUGAAUUUCUUUCUCUCAAUGAUUUGGGCAAAUCAACACCAAUUGCUAAAUCAAGUCAUGUUAAGUUCAUUCACAUAAUUUUCAAUUUAUUCUCUCUAAUGAGUGUCAUCAAUAUAUUUUUUACCAUGGCAAACUCAAAGAUUCAAUUCAAAAGGCAAUUUCCAAAUAUGAAUAUAACUCACUACAAUUGAUUCAACAUAAGUUUAAAGAGUCAUCACAUCAAUGGGGUCAUGGAAAGAAAAACUCAUCAACAUAGUUUAUCAGUUUGAGUAGAGCAAAUCAAAAAGAAGAAGAAGGUUGUGGUUGUGUGUGUUUUAUUGAAAGCAUAAACUAAAAAUUGAAAAAAAUCACACUGAAAAUGAAAAUAAAAAUUCAAACUGAAAAUUAAAGCAAAAAUUAAAAAUCCAGAAUUAUGCACCCCCACACCUAAAUCAUGCAUUGUCCUCAAUGUAUGGAAAAUAUUAAAAUGCAAAAGAAACUGAGUACUCCCCUGGGUGUGGUGUGCAUGGUGCGAUCCACUUGAUCAAGGCUCAAGUAAUUGGGGAAGGAAAAAGAGUCCCAACUGCAUUGAGCAAAAAGUGUAGCACUCCUUUUGAUUUGGUCAUAACCCAUCCUAUUUUUUCCAUGUACUCAUGAAGUAACAUAAUUAGCCCUUCCUCUUUCAGAUGAGGUGUGUCUCUAGUCCUUAUGUUUGCAUUUUUGAGCACUUCCAACUUUAAUUCAUAUUUCUCCAUGGCUAGCUGCAAUUUAGUACUAAAAUCUAGCAAAACAAACUCUACCUUAUCCGGAGGUUUGGGAAGGCAUUGGUCUGCAUGAUCCUUUGGUUUAGGUGCUUGGACUUCCACUUAUUCCUUGUGAGCAAGGGUUGUUUGCGUUGGAAGGCUGAAAGGAGUUUCAGAUUGCUACUUCUGCGCAAGAUUUACCUAAAAGGGAUGACUGGAAGGGGUUUUAUGCGAUGGAAGCUGUGGUGAGAGGUUCGGCGGCCAAAAGGUGGUGGAGUUCGGCGGCCGAAAGGUGGUGGUUUCAGUCUGCGCAAGGCUGAUCUGAAGAGGUGCGAUUGGCUCUCCUUUGUUCUGCGCAUGUUUGCAGUCCACCUGUUGGAUGCAACAAUCAGUUUCUUUCAGUUCUGGCUCUUUCUGGCUCUCUUCCCUGCAAAGAUUAUUGUUCAGAAUAUCAUCUUGAUUCAUAUAAAAAACAUCUUUGCUCAAAUAAUCAAUGACAUCUAAAUCAACAACAGGUUCUGUUUGACCAGUUUGUUUGGACAAACAGUUUUCUGGUUGUUUCUCUUCAGCAGCUUGUUUUUGAACUUGCGAACUUUCAUCAUCUUCCUCAUCAUCUUGAAACUCUUCCUCCCUUCUCAACAUGUUUGCAUUUUCUGCGGUGGCAAUCCGCUGUUCGAGGUUUUGUAAAGCACUUACCAUGGACUCCAUCAUCUUUUCAAGGUGCUGGGUGGAAUUUGGAGGUGCUAGUUGGACUUGAUAUCCUUGAUAAUUCUGGUAGUUGUUAGCCUCUGCAUAACUGAAGUUUGGAUAGUCUCCCCAACUUGGAUUGUAUGUGUUAUAGUAUUGAUCAUGUCUUGGCUGUUCAUAGAAUCCUCCAUAUGCAUGUCUAGCCUGACUAUUGAAUAUUUCAAACGCAUGCACUGGUUGGUCAUACUGAUAAAGUGUAGAACAUUGAUCAGUUGGUGUCCCACAUAUCCACAGAUCCUACAUGGCCUUGGUGGCUGGGAUGCUUGAACCUGUUGAACUAGUCUUAUGGCAAAUUCUUUCAUAAAAGAUGUCAGUAAACAAAAAUCAUAUCUAUUUACCUCAUCCAUGAUUCAGAUAUGCGAUGGUGACUGUGCCUUGGUGAGAUGUUCGGCGGCCGAAUGAGGAUGAUGUUCGGCGGCCGAAUGUGUUGCAGAAGGUGCUCCUGUGCAAAAGUGAUCUUCACUCUUUUUUUUUUUUUCAGAUCUGCGAUGAGGUGUUCUUUGGGUUACAAAUCAGGUCCUGAAAGAAAAACAAAUAAGUUAAAUCAAUUCCCCGGCAACGGUGCCAAUGUUUGACUCGCGGUUGUCGAAGCCGGUCAAAAAUAACCUUUCUGGUUAUCAACAAUUUACAACUGCAGAUAGUGGUGAAAGGAUCGAAUCCACAGGAAAUUGAGAACUCACCUAUUUCUUUUUUUUAUGACCAAGAAAAUAAACUGGAACAACAAUAAACUAAAAAUGAGAUAAAAACUGAAAGUGGGAUUAAAUGAGAUAAACUGAAAAUUGGGAUAAAAAACUGUCAACAAAAUAACAGGGGAGUUUGAAAUUGAUUGUAGUAACUAAUAAUGAGAAUAAUAAUAGAAAGUAAAUAAUAAAAUAAAGAGUAAUCAAUAAUGAAAAAGUUCUAGUUGAAGUAUUGGAUCCACUUUAGUUGUUGGGAUUGAUCACAGACACUUGUUCUUUUGGGUUGAUUCAAUAGAUUAGUUAUGGAGAUGGAAGACGCUUCUCACCACCAUUAUCUCUCCUUAUGAUUAAACCAAUUAGGGAACGUCCUCUAAUUAAUUACUAAUUAACAAAUUGCCAAGGAACGUCUUUGGGCCUCAGGCAUCAAAACAAUUGUCAAUUGCAUUAAGAAAUAGAGAGAUCCAAUCCUAGCUAUCCAAAUGUAUAGAGAUAACACUAGAUCAUACAAUUUCCUUGGGUUUUAUCCCAAGUGUUCUCAUGUAAGAAUAAUAUAAGCAAUUACGGACUUAAAUUAUUCAAACUAACAAAUAAUUAUUUUGCAAUUAAAAAUCAAUGUAGAUCUUAAUAACAAAAUAAUAUAAAAAUUAAGUAUGAAAUUGCAUGAAUAUUAAACUCCUAAAAAUUAAAUAAUAUUUGAUCAAGUCUCACAACCCAUUAAACAACUAAAACUUCAACCAAUAUUCAACUAGAUGAAAGAAAUUCAGCCACUCAUUGGCUGAAUUAAAAACAGAAAAAAAUAAAAAUAAAAAGGGAAAGGAAGGAAAGAACCGAAGAACUUCUACCUUGCGCCGGACUGCGAAAUUGCCGAAUUAGAAUUGGAAUUGUCUGUCCACUGAAGAGCUCUUUUUAUAAGUGCAGAGGUGCGUCCUAUUUUGGUAUUUCUGGCCACGUGCGGUGAGUCUCCGCGAGAGUGGGCUGCGUCCGUGAGUUUGGAGUGCUGGCCACAUGUGAGGUGCUUGGUC